UGCUAACCGCCGCGGUUAUACGGAGGGGGUUUGCGUUGUUCGGAAUUACUGGGCGUUAAGCGCACGUAGGCGGGUUAGAAAGUUAGAGGUGAAAUCCCGGGACUCAACCCCGGAACUGCCUUUAAAACUACUAGUCUAGAGUUCGAGAGAGGUGAGUGGAAUUCCGAGUGUAGAGGUGAAAUUCGUAGAUAUUCGGAGGAACACCAGUGGCGAAGGCGGCUCACUGGCUCGAUACUGACGCUGAGGUGCGAAAGUGUGGGGAGCAAACAGGAUUAGAUA
Molecule: ribosomal RNA, 279 nt
Filed under: uncultured bacterium
Lineage: Bacteria
Description: partial 16S ribosomal RNA
Rfam family: Bacterial small subunit ribosomal RNA
Source: RNAcentral